Epinephelus moara (kelp grouper) is the source of this 3086-nucleotide long non-coding RNA. RefSeq lists it as uncharacterized. The record is from RefSeq and is a predicted model, not a curated record. The transcript has 3 exons. NCBI's taxonomy places the organism in Eukaryota, Metazoa, Chordata, Actinopteri, Perciformes, Serranidae.
GCAUAAAGAAGGUACGGGCAUGUGCUGCGUGUUUACACAGAGAGAGGCGGAGGGAGAUAAGGCGAGAGUUAAAACUGCUGGCGGUGGAAGGACUGAAGCUUAGAUGGAGGCCAACAGGAAAAACACUGCAGGGUUAAAAACAAGAGAGGGAAAAUGUUUUUAUGGUGGUUAAACACACAACAGCUCCGAGACACCAUUCAAGCAAGUCAUGGAUGAAGCUCAGCAGUUUCACACACAGCAGAAACACUCCACAGUCACAGUUUAGGAAACAAGCUCCACCAGACAAAGAAGACGAAGAAGAAGAAGAAGAAGAAGAAGAAGAAGAAGAAGAAGAAGAAGACAAAGAAGAUGCAUUAAAUGGAGAGCUGUCAGAGCAAGGAAGUCACCCUUGGACUGGCACCCUGAGCAGUUGGAGGUUUGGUGUCUUGCUGAAGGGCACCUCAGCAGUGCCCAGGAGACAAACUGGCAUCUCUCUGGCUACCAGUCCACACUUCAUGCUUGGUCUGUACGGAGACUUGAAGCGGUGACCCUCAGGUUUCCAGCCCAAGGGCCCCUGGACUGAGCUACUGCCGCUAACUCGCUCUCCUCCUGCUGAUGACAUCACAGAUUUGUUGUUCACGAUGUAACGACAGGCUGCGUCCUUUGACACUACUGAGUCCUUUCAUCACGACGAUGUUUCUGGAAAGAUCUCUGUUUGUCCCAAACACGUUUCCUGUUGUUCCUGGGACGAUGGGACAGAGGAGCGGAGGGUGCAGGAAGGGGUGUAGGGGUGGAGAAGGUCUUUAAGGUAGGAGGGGGCCUGGUUGUGAAGUGCUUUGUUGGUAAGUUGGGGGAUUUUGGAUUGGAUACGGUAUGUGGUCACGGGAGCGGGUGUGGGUGAGGAGGCGGGCAGCAGAGUUCUGGAUAUACUGAAGUUUAUUUAGGAACUUGGAGGUUGAGCCGUAGAGGAAACUGUUGCUGUAGUCGAUUCGAGAUGUAAUAAAAGCAUGAAUGAGAGUUUCAGCUGCAGGGAAGGAGAGAGACGGGCGGAGGCGGGCGAUGUUUUUGAGAUGGUAGAAUGCUGAUUUGGUGACUUGCUUGAUGUGUUGGUUGAAGGAGAGAUUGCUGUCAAAGAUGACUCCAAGGUUGAGGCAGUGGGGGGAGGGGGAGAGGGUGGAGUUGUCGAUAAAGAGAUGGAAGUCUUUGGCUGCCAGGGUGAGGGAACUUGGACCAGUUAUGAGUAAGUCUGAUUUGUCGUAGUUGAGUUUGAGGAUAUUUGUUUGCAUCUAGUGUCUGAUAUCAGAGAGACAGUUUGAGAGGUGAUGGCUUUGGUGGAGAUGUAGAGCUGGAUGUCGUCAGCGUAACAGUGGAAUCGGAGGCCGUGACGACGGAUGAUGUGACCGAGGGGGAGGAGGUAGAGGAUAUUCAGUCUGAUAAACACGUUGAUCAUGUUAGUGCAGGGCAGAGCUUUACAUCUGUCCCACAGACGACAGGCCUACACACUUAUAAACAGCUCCUGGAAGAAGAUCAGCUCUGCACUCUUUCACGUAAAUAGCCUAUACCAUGCUUGUUAGGGUUGCUUAGCAACCUUAGAAGCAACCUGCCGCAGCGCUUUUGAAAGCCGGCACAGAAAAGGCACUUGGCACCUGACCUCGCGUUUUCUAGCCAGUUAAAGAUGCUGCGUGUGCACGGCCCCUCAGUCUGGACAUCUGCGCUGUAGCCUGAGACGUGACAGAACAACAUCCGUCAGUGAUGUCAUCUGAUUUACUGAUUGGCUGAUGGCAGUCAAAAGGAAAAUUGGCAGGUACCAACGUGCGGCUGAUGAAUCGAAAACAUCCCUAAAUAUGUGUUUUUGUGAUUUGCUCACAAACUUAAGUCAGUAUCAAACAGUUUGUGUAUAUUUAUGGCUGUAUCUUAAUAUCUGUGUCUUCCUUCACAUCGUGCGGCGCUGUCUCGUGAUUAUUUCUGGAUUUGGGCUGAAUUGUUUUGUUUUUAACGGCAAAACAGAGAGAGGAGAUAAAAGAGGUGGAGACGAACCUCCAGAGAGGAAGAGAUUUCUUAUCAGCGGAGGAAUGUCAGCAGAGUGAAAUCAAAACAAGACGACCUUCAACACACUGAGCCACAGCAGAGAGCCUGAGGUGAACACACUGACGCCGUCGCUGUUUGACGCCCUGAGAAUAAGAACAGGCUGUUUGUUGUUAGAGACUUGUCUGGUUGUUUGAGCUAGUCGAACUUGUUGUUGUUAUUAUCAGCAUGACGGUGAUGUCAGACUGCAACGUCUCUGUUGGAUGGAUCACAUUUUGUAAAGACAUUCAUGUUCCCCUCAGGAUGAACCACACUGACUUUGAUGACUUGUUCUCUGGCGCCACCUGCAGGUUCAGCUUUGUGGUUUUGAGUCUCCACAUCUGUUGGAUGGAUUGUGAUGAAACAUGAUUCAUCGUUCAUGUUCUCCUGAGGACGAUCCGUCAUAACUUUAGUGAUCCUCUGAGAAUUCCUCCAGCGCCAUCAUCAGUGGUCCUGAAAAAGUACCAUCCAGUAAGCUGACUGUGUCUCUGCGGAAUGAAGAAGGAAUCUGACUGCUGCAUCGUCAUCAUAAUCAUCAUCACUUGGUGAAGCAAACCAGAGCUCGUCUGAUGUAGUUCAGCUCCACGUGGUCUCAGUUCAUCACGACUGACUGAGUGAAUGUCGCUCCAGAAGAUAAAGUGAAAUCAUGUUUAAGACAUUUUAACAUUUUCAAACCCAGCAGAGCGACGGUGUCUCUGUCAGACUCAACGCCUCGUGCUAUGACAUUUUAUUAUUUGUCUCAACAGGAGCACAAAGCUGCAACCUACUGCAGGAUGUUUUUCAAAUGUACCUAUAGACAUGCAGAGAGGAAACACAACCUCAACACAGCAGCUGCUUUCAGUCAUCAGUCACAGCUGUCAAUAAAUCAGCUUCAUUCUCCUGAAGCUCUGCACAGUUUGACUUCAGUUUGCAAAGUGAGAGAAGAAGCAGCACAGACUCUCCUGCUUUCACCAACCAGCUCUGCUGAAGCAGCUCAGUCCCCUUACUCCCAUUACUCCCAUUAGUCCCAGUAAGAACAGUGAAAUGAUUCAGACUCACUGUGA